Poecile atricapillus (Black-capped chickadee) is the source of this 1702-nucleotide long non-coding RNA. RefSeq lists it as uncharacterized. NCBI's taxonomy places the organism in Eukaryota, Metazoa, Chordata, Aves, Passeriformes, Paridae. The transcript has 3 exons. The record is from RefSeq and is a predicted model, not a curated record.
GGGAAAGGGAGAGAUCAGGUUUGCUUUGCUUUUCCAGGGAAAGAAUGGCACCUGCAUGGGUGCCCUGUGUGUCCAUGGGAUGUCCACAGCCGUGGAAGUUCAUGGAAUCUUGGAGUGGUGUGGCGAUGCCAGACACCUCGCAGUGAUUAAACCAGACAUUUCCCCGGGGGAACCAAGUGUUUCCUUCAUCUCUGGACAGCAGAGCCCAGCAAAACCAGCCUUCCCUGCUGCAGCUCACACACACUCCCUGGUGAAGCAGCUCCUCUCCACAGAGAGCUGUUCCUCAGGGUCCUAAGGAAUAGAGCCUGUCUCCCAGGAAAAGCAAGGCUGGUUAGCUUGGCAAGAAGAGAGCUGAGAGCCCCAGGACUUCCCUUUUCCCUCUGUAACUGGUCAAAUGUUAUUUGCUGUGUCUCUUCAGGAGAGCUUGGUGUUUUCCUUGGAGCAGGAACAGCUGCUGCACGGAGCCUGGGGGCUGGGGGCCUCCAGAAGUGCCUGCUGAUGGGGCUUGGGAGGGCAGGGCAGCCUGAGCAAUUCUCAUCAGCUGGCCCUAAUCCCACACACCAAGACUCAGCCCCUCUCCUGUAGACAUUCCCAAUAAGAUGUCUGGAAAAAGAAACCUUAAAAAACCUCUUAAAAAUCAUCCAAUUCCAACCCCCUGCCAUGGGCAGGGACACCUUCCACUGUCACAGGUUGUUCCAAGCCCUGUCCAGCCUGGCCUUGGACACUUCCAGGGAUGGGGCAGCCACAGCUCCUCUGUGCACCCUGUGCCAGGGCCUCACCACUUUACAGGCAAGAAUUUUUUUUUUCCUAAUAUCUGCCCUAAUAAAUGUGCCCUCUUUCAGUUUGAAGCCAUUCCCCUCUGUCCUAACCCCCUCUGCACAUGGGCAUUGAGCAAAUCCUUUCCCCCAGCAUUCCUAAUUCCUUCAGGAACCAACCCUGCUUUCCAGAGCCAAAUGUAAGGGGGAAAAUAGCAGGAAGAGAAACUGAGGAAAAGAAAAAGGCUUAUUUGUCAGAGACACGACUGGAAGCAUGAGUCUGGCUGCUCACCACAUGAAAAGCCCGUCUGCUGCAUGGAGGUCUUGGAGAAGAAAGGGGGAUCCUGCAGAGCUGGAAGCUGGCAGGGAAGUCUCCCAAGGCAGUGCUGGAGUUGCAGGGUGAUGGGAAUCAAUGCCAGCUUUGUGUACAGGUAGCUGGGCAGGAUUUAUGACCUGCCCAGUGGUGGGAACACAGACCAUGAAUUAAAGCACUGUUGGAGAAUCAGAAGGUUCUGACUUCAGAGCUGCAGUCCUGAGGAAAAGGACAAGGUAGAUUCCUCUACAAGCACUCUAAAAUUAAAGUAGAAUUCCAAAAGUUUCUUUAAAACAUGCAUUUUGUGAGUGCUAGCCCUGUGGAACCCCAGCAGCCCCACCAGGGCUGCCGUAAAUCACACUGGGCUACAAAAACUGCACAGGGAGCAUGGGGCAGCCGUGGUGCUGUGAACAUCAAACACUGCACAAGUGGAAGCCAAAUCUUUUUUUUGAUUCCCCAGCAAAAGAGAGUGACUCCCUCCUUUGGGCAGGAGCUUGGGGUUUGCUCUGGGAUUGCUUCUCAGAGGCACCAACCCAGGAUGGGAAUUCCCAGGCACAGCCCCAGUGGGAACAAACCCAAACAGCACAGCCCCAAACACUCCCUGCACAUGCACAGCCUCCCCAGAAUAAACCAU